UGGGGAAUUUUGGACAAUGGGCGAAAGCCUGAUCCAGCAAUGCCGCGUGUGUGAAGAAGGCCUUCGGGUUGUAAAGCACUUUUGUCCGGAAAGAAAUCCUUGGCUCUAAUACAGUCGGGGGAUGACGGUACCGGAAGAAUAAGCACCGGCUAACUACGUGCCAGCAGCCGCGGUAAUACGUAGGGUGCAAGCGUUAAUCGGAAUUACUGGGCGUAAAGCGUGCGCAGGCGGUUUGCUAAGACCGAUGUGAAAUCCCCGGGCUCAACCUGGGAACUGCAUUGGUGACUGGGCAGGCUAGAGUAUGGCAGAGGGGGGUAGAAUUCCACGUGUAGCAGUGAAAUGCGUAGAGAUGUGGAGGAAUACCGAUGGCGAAGGCAGCCCCUGGGCCAAUACUGACGCUCAUGCACGAAAGCGUGGGGAGCAAACAGGAUUAGAUACCCUGGUAGUCCACGCCCUAAACGAUGUCAACUAGUUGUU
Molecule: ribosomal RNA, 477 nt
Filed under: uncultured bacterium
Lineage: Bacteria
Description: partial 16S ribosomal RNA
Rfam family: Bacterial small subunit ribosomal RNA
Source: RNAcentral